UACGGCCGCAUCACGUUGAAACACCGAUUUCCGUACAUGGAAGUUAAACACCGUUAAGCCUUGUCAGUACCUGGAUGGGUGACCGCUUGGGAAUACCUGAGGCUACA
This is a non-coding RNA of Acanthosepion pharaonis, 107 nucleotides long. The record is from the annotation of a GenBank genome assembly. NCBI's taxonomy places the organism in Eukaryota, Metazoa, Mollusca, Cephalopoda, Sepiida, Sepiidae.